AACCUGGUUGAUCCUGCCAGUAGUCAUAUGCUUGUCUAAAAGACUAAGCCAUGCAUGUCUAAGUAUAAGCUUUUAUACGGCGAAACUGCGAAUGGCUCAUUAUAACAGUUAUAAUUUAUUCGGUAAUGACUCCUACAUGGAUAACCGUGGUAAUUCUAGAGCUAAUACAUGCUUACAGGCCCUUUACGGGGUUGCAGUUAUUAGAUUUAGAACUUCUUUUUGGUGAUUCAUAGUAACUAAGCGAAUCGUUUUGAUAGACCGUUUAAGUUUCUGACCUAUCAGCUUUUGACGGUAAGGUAUUGGCUUACCGUGGCAUUCACGGGUAACGGGGAAUUAGGGUUCGAUUCCGGAGAGGGAGCCUGAGAGACGGCUACCACAUCCAAGGAUGGCAGCAGGCGCGCAAAUUACCCAAUCCUGAUUCAGGGAGGUAGUGACAAGAAAUAACGAAGUAGGACACAUUGUGAUUCUGCUAUUGGAAUGAGUGGGUUUUAAAAAUCUCCACGAGUAACAAUUGGAGGGCAAGUCUGGUGCCAGCAGCCGCGGUAAUUCCAGCUCCAAUAGC
Molecule: ribosomal RNA, 562 nt
Filed under: uncultured marine eukaryote
Lineage: Eukaryota
Description: SSU rRNA
Rfam family: Eukaryotic small subunit ribosomal RNA
Source: RNAcentral